UACGUAGGUGGCUAGCGUUGUUCGGAUUUAUUGGGCGUAAAGGGUCUGUAGGGGGCCUGCUAAGUCUGAUGUGAAAUACCAAGGCUUAACCUUGGAACUGCAUUGGAUACUGGCGGGCUAGAGCAUCGGAGAGGAGAAUGGAAUUCCUGGUGUAGCGGUGGAAUGCGUAGAUAUCAGGAGGAACACCAAAGGCGAAGGCAUUUCUCUGGACGAUUGCUGACCCUCAAAGACGAAAGCAUGGGGAGCAAACAGGAUUAGAUACCCUGGUAGUCCAUGCUGUAAACGGUGUGAACUUGACGUGGAUGGGAUUAGCCCCUUCCGUGUCGUAGCUAACGCGAUAAGUUCACCGCCUGGGGACUACGGCCGCAAGGCUAAA
Molecule: ribosomal RNA, 376 nt
Filed under: uncultured bacterium
Lineage: Bacteria
Description: bacterial SSU rRNA
Rfam family: Bacterial small subunit ribosomal RNA
Source: RNAcentral